Oreochromis niloticus (Nile tilapia) is the source of this 1945-nucleotide long non-coding RNA. RefSeq lists it as uncharacterized. The record is from RefSeq and is a predicted model, not a curated record. Lineage: Eukaryota; Metazoa; Chordata; Actinopteri; Cichliformes; Cichlidae. The transcript is spliced from 2 exons.
AAUGAAAAACAUGAAUAAAAUCUUGAACAAGUAAACAGUCCCAUCAAAGCUUCAAGCUGCAUUCAUCGGCAAAUGUGCAUCAUAAGUGUCUCAACCAUUCUUAUUUGAUUUAAAAACACAACUUUUACAUCAGGAUGUGAAAGUAUUCCUAACGGAGUGGCUGCAGUUUGUCUAACACUUUAGUUACAUUUGACUUUAAGUUGAAGGAAAAUUCCAUAAUCCACAAAUAAUCAUUUACAACAAUAUAUUCUGCUUUAAAUCUUUACAACUCACAACAGAGAACACAAUCAAACUAAUAACUGCUGCACACUGACACGUUCAUGUAAUUUCCUGGGUUAUCUGACAGUUAUUGAAUCCUUUAAAAUGGAAAAUAACAAAGUGGUACAAAUAAAUAAUAAUCUGAAACCAAGAAACUGAUGUUUUACACAUUAGUGUAGAAACAUCUGGAUUAUCAGCCUGCAAAGACAAACAAUCAGCUGGACUGAGUCAGAGAAGAGACCUGCUGAUGUUUCCAACAUGAAGCUUGUGUUGGACAGAACAGUUCAUCCUCACUGAGGCUGGGUUCAGUAACAGCUGCUUAAAGUUGGGCUCAGCUGAGUACUUUCUGCUCCUAUUGGUCAGUCUCAUAGACAACAGGGGAAAAAUAUUUACAGUAAAUGUACUCGUCAGCCCGCAGGAUGAUCAAGUCCUUCCUGUAGUGUCAGAGUGAAAUCAGUGGUCUGUGUGGAGUGUUGCUGAAUGCUGUCAGUCUCUGCUCAGCAGCAGGAGACUCAAAGUCCAUCUGCAAAAAUGCUCUGAGACAUUUCAGACAGUCUGCAGCUCAGCAGGAGGACGCUCUGAAUCCUGACUCUGUCCAUGUUUUCUGUAGAUCAGAAAAGCAACAACAACAACAGCAACAAGCACAGCACAAAGUGACGCGCUCGCUAUCAGUCCAGCACGUCCUCUUCUGACUCCGUCCCCUCUCAGUCCUCCUGGUUGAUCUUCAUGCAGAAACAGGUGUGAGGUGCAGAUAGAUUCCCACGAGCGUGUUUCUUCCAUGAAGACGUGACACUCGUACGUUCCAGCGUCCGCAGUCGUCACAUUCUCCAGAAUCAAAGACACGUCUCCAUCCUUCAUCUGUCUGUCCUGCAGAUCCACCCGCUUCUUUAAAGAUGGAUGCUGCUUGUUGGUAUCAAAGUGCCCGUCCCGGUACAAGAGCACAUAUUCUUCUCCCAGAUCAGCUCUGCUCCAGUUCACAACUAUGAACUUGUCGUUUGGAGCUCGACAUGUCAGAGUGACGUUGUUUCCAGACUCAGCUGGGACUUUUUUGUCACGUGUGUAUAAAGAAACGCUGAGCUCGCCUUCAGCAGUGAAAGCCAGGACGCAUGCGCAGAGCACGCCCGGGAACAAUGACGUUAUUUUGGGUGUAGUCAUUCUGGCUGACAGCAAACCAAGUGAUUUGUAUUUUUCAUGCUUUUGCUGCCACAUUAUAAACUAAAAUUUCUUGGUCGGGAGAAAAACCCCUGUUACGGGAACUCCAGGCUUCGGCUUUGGGAACUCCCGGCUUCGGCUAUGGGAACAACGCCUCGCCUCUUUUGCCUCAGGCGGCGCUGAAAUAAGUUCAGCAGCCUCUGCGUGAAAACUUUGGUGCCUCAGUUGGCAUCCCUCAGCUUCGGUGUGGACAUAUCGGCUGUUAUGUGCCCAAGUUUUUCUUCAGCCUCUGACGUUUUUACAUUUCUUCGCUGAUUGUGGACACAGAUUUUCCUGAACCUCUCUGUUUUUGCACUCUGGGUUUUACAGUUUCUUGUGUGUGUAAAAAGCAAAUAAAGAAUGUGUUUGUGAACAGGUUAUUGCAGUCUGAAAUGUAAAGUGAAACUUUAUUUGAUUACAUUGUGUGAAUGUUCAGGCAUUAAUACUUUUUGGAAAGCUGAAUUGAAAGAAUAAAAAGUAAAUGUGUAAAGUGUCA